This 567-nucleotide long non-coding RNA is filed under the name Dromaius novaehollandiae (emu). RNAcentral describes it as "lncRNA (ENSDNVG00000002335.1)". Lineage: Eukaryota; Metazoa; Chordata; Aves; Casuariiformes; Dromaiidae. The record is from RNAcentral.
UUGAAUCCAUCAGCAUGUCUCAAGCCUCACCCAUGGAAACCUUUUUGUAAGCUAGAGAAGUUCUGUCUCCAUAGUCAAUUUACAGGGUAGUGCAUAGGCAUUUAGUAGGAAGUGUUCUUUAUCCCUCUGAUUUGUUUUACCAUCUAUGCAAUACUGCAGUCACCAGAUGUAGAAGUAGCUUGUUGCAUUUAAAUGAGGAAAACGAGGGUUCUAGGAACAGUAAUCUGCUGCUAUGUCUCCAAAUUUCAAAGAUCUUCCAUUCUGCAAACAAGUUUAAAGCUUCCCAUUCUUCCUUGAAUCUGAUCGAAGAUCUGCAAGAUCAGCCACCAGGAAUGACAGAAAUUGGUGAUGACGGUUUCUUUUUAAGUGCACGCAGGUUGCAAGAAAGAAGAAGUGUCCAGUGGAGAUUGUUAAUAUGGAAAUAUCCUAAGAUAUGGCAUGCCAUCUGAGAAAAUAAGUGGACUACACUUUGGCACAAAGGAUAAUUAAUCAUACCAUGAAUUGCUGAAGACAGGUAAACUGAAAAGCGCUUCCUUUUUCCGCUCAUUAAUUUUGUGCAUCUACUUA